Molecule: ribosomal RNA, 484 nt
Filed under: uncultured bacterium
Lineage: Bacteria
Description: partial 16S ribosomal RNA
Rfam family: Bacterial small subunit ribosomal RNA
Source: RNAcentral
AUUGAACGCUGGCGGCAGGCCUAACACAUGCAAGUCGAGCGGAUGAAGGGUGCUUGCUCCUGGUUUCCGCGGCGGACGGGUGUGUAAUGCCUAUGAAUCUGCCUGGUAUUGGUGUAUAACGUCCGGAAACGGGCGCUAAUACCGCAUACGUCCUGAUGCAGCAAGUGGGGGAUCUUCGGACCUCUCGCUAUCAUAUGAGCCUAGGUGGGAUUUGCUAGUUGGUGGGGUAAAGGCCUACAAAGGCGACGAUCCGUAACUGGUCUGAGAGGAUGAUCAGUCACACGGGAAGUGAGACACGGACAAGAGGACUACGGGAGGAAGCAGAGGGGAAUAGUAGACAAUGGGCGAAAACAUGAUACAACGAGGGCGCGUGUGAGAAGAAAGUCUUGGGAGUGUAAAGAAGGGUAAGGUGGGAGGAAGGGCAGUAAGUUAAGACGAUGCGGUAGUGACGGUACCAACAGAAUAAGCACCGGCUAACUACGUG